This 439-nucleotide ribosomal RNA is filed under the name uncultured bacterium. RNAcentral describes it as "partial 16S ribosomal RNA". It matches the Rfam family "Bacterial small subunit ribosomal RNA", at positions 339 to 795 of the family's 1533-position model. The record is from RNAcentral.
CUACGGGCCGCAGCAGUGAGGAAUAUUGCACAAUGGGGGGAACCCUGAUGCAGCAACGCCGCGUGGAGGAUGACGCAUUUCGGUGUGUAAACUCCUUUUAUAUGUCAAGAAAAUGACGGUAGCAUAUGAAUAAGCACCGGCUAACUCCGUGCCAGCAGCCGCGGUAAUACGGAGGGUGCAAGUGUUACUCGGAAUCACUGGGCGUAAAGGACGCGUAGGCGGGUUGGAAAGUCAGGUGUGAAAUCCUACAGCUUAACUGUAGAACUGCACUUGAAACUUCUAGUCUAGAGUAUGGGAGGGGGAGAUGGAAUUAGUGGUGUAGGGGUAAAAUCCGUAGAUAUCACUAGGAAUACCUAAAGCGAAGGCGAUCUCCUGGAACAUUACUGACGCUAAGGCGUGAAAGCGUGGGGAGCAAACAGGAUUAGAUACCCUUGUAGUC